AAUUUCUCUAUUGCGAAGUACUCUACUCUUCCGGUCUACAAUGACUAACGGUACCUCCUUAUAGGAUAGAUCCUCCUAGAGUGAAAGUGGUUCAUGAGAUAGGAUAUGUGAGGGGUCCAGGUUGUACUUACGUAGCGUAGACACAUGAAACAUGUUAUGGACUCUAGAUAGCUCAUGAUAGUUCAGAGGUAGUGCUAGUCUGUAGGCGGACGUAUCAACCCUGUCUAAAAUUUCAAACAGUUCAAUGAACCGGGGAUUUAAUUUCUCCCUCUUA
This 274-nucleotide long non-coding RNA is filed under the name Carica papaya (papaya). RNAcentral's name for it is "long non-coding RNA (CPAP_LNC000539)". Lineage: Eukaryota; Viridiplantae; Streptophyta; Magnoliopsida; Brassicales; Caricaceae. The record is from RNAcentral.